This is a non-coding RNA of Planctomycetes bacterium RBG_13_60_9, 72 nucleotides long. The record is from Rfam. Lineage: Bacteria; Pseudomonadati; Planctomycetota.
GCCGAUGUAGCUCAAUGGUAGAGCACGGCUUUCGUAAAGCCGGGGUUGUGGGUUCAAGUCCCACCAUCGGCU